CUCAUCUGCGUCAGCAAAGCUUCUUCACCCUGUCCAAGGCAGUUCUUUCCUGUAGCAGCAGCUAAAUCCAAUUUGCAGUUUUUCCAAACUUGCACAUCCUCAGAGAUGCCAGACCAUUUGGGGAUGCCAGACCAGCACCCCUGCCUGAGAAAAUUCCAGUCUCGGGCCGGGUGCGGUAGCUCACGCCUGUAAUUCCAGCUCUUUGGGAGGCUGAGGCGGGUCAAUCACGAGGUCAGAAGAUCGAGGCCAUCCUGGCUAACACGUGAGAUAGGAAUUUGGCAAGACUGGUUUCCAAGACAACAGGACACAAGACCUCACUCAUAAGACAGAAAACAGCAAAAGAAACUGGCUAAAACCAGCUAGAACCAAGAGGACAAUGAAAGGGACCUCUGGGGCCGGGCCCGGUGCCUCAUGCCUGUAAUCCCUGCACCUAGGGAGGCCGAGGCGGGUGAAUUACCUGAGGUCAGGAGUUCGAGACCAGCCUGACCAACACGGAGAAACCCUGUCUCUACUCAAAAUACAAAAUUAGCCCGGCGUGGUGGUGCCUGCCUGUAAUCCCAGCUACCUGGGAGGCUGAGGCAGGAGAAUUUCUUGAACCCGGGAGGCAGAGGUUGUGGUGAGCCAAGAUCGCGCCAUUGCACUCCAGCCUGGGCAACAAGAGCCAAACUCCAUCUCAAAAAACAACAACAACUAAAAAGGAAGUGACGUCUGGUUACUUUCACUGCUCAUUAUAUGCUAAUUGUAAUGCAUUAACAUGCUAAAAACACUGCCACCAGCACCAUGACAGUUUACAAAUGCCAUGGCCAUGCUGAAAAGUUACCCUGUGUGGUCUGGACGGGGUGAAAGCCCAGGUUCUGGGAACUCCCUGCCUCUUAUCUAGAAAACCCAUGUGUAAUUCACCUUUUAUUUAGCAUAUAUUCAACAACUAACCAUUAAAAUAACCAACCAACGAUCCUCAGAGCUACUCUGCCUAUGAGGUUGCUACUCUUACUUUCCUUUCUUUCUUUUUUUUUCCAAUUGUAAAGUGCUGAUCCUGUUUAUUUGGCAGGAAAACGAGACAAUCCAGCAGCCCAGGAGGGACAGGUGGACUUAAUCCUCCUCCUCGUCGUCUCCAGCCCCACCCUCACCCUGGCCCUUCUUGGCGUUCUUCCUCUUCACGCGGCCGGGGCGGCCACCCCAUAGGGAGAGCGCAGAGACAAGUCGAUGCGCUUCUGGGAAUCCAGGCGGACAAUGAAGGACGGGAUGUUCGCCACCUGAUUGCGGACCCUGACACGGCGCUGGCGGAUCAGCCCAGGAUGUAAUCCAGCUUCGUCUUGCCCUCAUCCAGCACCCCAAUGCGGAGCAGCCGCCGCAGCAGGACGUUGCCUUCAAACAGACGCCGUGGGUCCUUCUCAUCAAGCGUCAGCAGUUCCCGGGCGGCCUUGCGGAUGUUGGCCAAGAUCAAAUGGAGAAAAAUAUCAACAAGAUAUACAAACAACUACCUGGCUACCUUCAUCAUACUCAGACUGGUACAGAACAGCUGGGGUCCCGGCUAAACCCUAUCCUUAAGCCUGGAACCGCCGCCCUAAGUGAAAACAGCUGACCCCAUUUUUCCAUCCAAAUGUUGCCUUUUUGGCCUGCCACACCUCUAUCCUGUGCCCACAAAAAGACUGCCGCUGGCAGAGCAACACAAGCGGCUGAUGGCUGAGCAUCAAAGACUACGGAUAGACACGGCUAACUUCAGAUGGCGCAGCUUCAGGGAAAGAUCACCUUCUUCCCACACCCUCCCCUGGCCUCCAUUCCACUGAGAGCCACUUCCAUCACCCAAUAAAAUCCUCCCCAUACACUACCCUACAAUCUGUUCGUGUGACCUAAUUCUUCCUGGACACCAGUCAAGAACCCGGAUGCUGAGAGGGCAGGGGCUUGGACGCUCCCGCACAGAGCCUGCUCCCACCAGAGAGGAGUGACUGGCCGGCUCCAGCGUUUGUUCCCUUCAGUUCCUGCACUCGCUUGCUCCCACGCUCCCUCUCAUGAGGAGUCACCAGCAGCAGGCUGAGCCAAAAAAGCCACUCCAGUUCCCGCCCAUGAAGAGGAUCAAGGUCAAGGUGAUGUAGGAGUUAAGACGAAAUCACUUAGACUGAUAGGGCAAGGGAGUCCUUGGUAAGGCUUUCCUUUUUAAUGAAAAGCAGCCCCGAAUCAUUUUCUAAUGAAGAGCGGCUUGUAAAGUUGAGCUGCAGAGAUAGGCAUGCAAGCUGGGAGCUUGCCUGGGUGAACGCCGGCCUGGCGGGAACAAGGAACUAGGGACUAGACAUGUUCAAUAUGGUGGCUCCAUCUUCCCUUCUCUGCCAGCCACGUGUACAGUUAACGAGCAGACAAGAGGGCUCUGGCCAUGGGGAGAGUUCAUUUACAUAAUAAGAUUAGGGUGGGGAGGGCUUGGCUCGGUGGCUCACGCCUGUAAUCCCAGCACUUUGGG
This 2452-nucleotide long non-coding RNA is filed under the name Homo sapiens (human). RNAcentral describes it as "HSALNT0261363". The record is from RNAcentral. Lineage: Eukaryota; Metazoa; Chordata; Mammalia; Primates; Hominidae.